Molecule: ribosomal RNA, 382 nt
Filed under: uncultured Staphylococcus sp.
Lineage: Bacteria; Bacillati; Bacillota; Bacilli; Caryophanales; Staphylococcaceae
Description: bacterial SSU rRNA
Rfam family: Bacterial small subunit ribosomal RNA
Source: RNAcentral
AGAGAUAGACGCCUUCCCCUUCGGGGACGAAAGUGACAGGUGGUGCAUGGUUGUCGUCAGCUCGUGUCGUGAGAUGUUGGGUUAAGUCCCGCAACGAGCGCAACCCUUAAGCUUAGUUGCCAUCAUUAAGUUGGGCACUCUAGGUUGACUGCCGGUGACAAACCGGAGGAAGGUGGGGAUGACGUCAAAUCAUCAUGCCCCUUAUGAUUUGGGCUACACACGUGCUACAAUGGACAAUACAAAGGGCAGCUAAACCGCGAGGUCAUGCAAAUCCCAUAAAGUUGUUCUCAGUUCGGAUUGUAGUCUGCAACUCGACUACAUGAAGCUGGAAUCGCUAGUAAUCGUAGAUCAGCAUGCUACGGUGAAUACGUUCCCGGGUCUU